This 493-nucleotide ribosomal RNA is filed under the name uncultured bacterium. Its description in RNAcentral is "SSU rRNA". It matches the Rfam family "Bacterial small subunit ribosomal RNA", at positions 26 to 523 of the family's 1533-position model. The record is from RNAcentral.
AGGACGAACGCUGGCGGCGCGCCUAACACAUGCAAGUCGAGCGAGAACCAGGGCUUGCCCUGGGGACAGCGGCGAACGGGUGCGGAACACGUACGCAACCUUCCUUUAACUGGAGAAUAGCCCGGGGAAACCCGGAUUAAUACUCCGUAACAUUAUGAGAUGGCAUCAUUUUGUAAUUAUAGCUCCGGCGGUUAAAGAUGGGCGUGCGUCUGAUUAGGUAGUUGGCGGGGUAACGGCCCACCAAGCCUACGAUCAGUAACUGGUGUGAGAGCACGACCAGUCACACGGGCACUGAGACACGGGCCCGACUCCUACGGGAGGCAGCAGUAAGGAUAUUGGUCAAUGGACGCAAGUCUGAACCAGCCAUGCCGCGUGGAGGAUGAAGGUCCUCUGGAUUGUAAACUUCUUUUAUUGGGAAGAACCCCGAUUUCUAUUGGGUUGACGGUACCAGAUGAAUAAGCACCGGCUAACUCCGCGCCAGCAGCCGCGGUAA